This 427-nucleotide ribosomal RNA is filed under the name uncultured bacterium. RNAcentral describes it as "bacterial SSU rRNA". It matches the Rfam family "Bacterial small subunit ribosomal RNA", at positions 355 to 774 of the family's 1533-position model. The record is from RNAcentral.
UGGGGAAUUUUGGACAAUGGGCGAAAGCCUGAUCCAGCCAUGCCGCGUGAGUGAAGAAGGCCUUCGGGUUGUAAAGCUCUUUUAGUCGGAAAGAAAGAGUUGCAAUGAAUAAUUGUGAUUUAUGACGGUACCGACAGAAAAAGCACCGGCUAACUACGUGCCAGCAGCCGCGGUAAUACGUAGGGUGCGAGCGUUCAUCGGAAUUACUGGGCGUAAAGGGUGCGCAGGCGGUCUUGCAAGUCAGAUGUGAAAGCCCCGGGCUUAACCUGGGAAUUGCGUUUGAAACUACAAGGCUAGAGUGCAGCAGAGGGGAAUGGAAUUCCAUGUGUAGCAGAGAAAUGCGUAGAGAUGUGGAAGAACACCGAUGGCGAAGGCAGCUCCCUGGGUUGACACUGACGCUCAUGCACGAAAGCGUGGGGAGCAAACA